This 465-nucleotide ribosomal RNA is filed under the name uncultured bacterium. RNAcentral's name for it is "partial 16S ribosomal RNA". It matches the Rfam family "Bacterial small subunit ribosomal RNA", at positions 28 to 507 of the family's 1533-position model. The record is from RNAcentral.
GACGAACGCUGGCGGCGUGCUUAACACAUGCGAGUCUAACGGAAAGGCCCUGCUUGCCGGGUACUCGAGUGGCGAACGGGUGAGUAACACGUGGGUGAUCUGCCCUGCACUUCGGGAUAAGCCUGGGAAACUGGGUCUAAUACCGGAUAGGAGCCAUUUUUAGUGUGAUGGUUGGAAAGUUUUUUCGGUGUAGGAUGAGCUCGCGGCCUAUCAGCUUGUUGGUGGGGUAAUGGCCUACCAAGGCGGCGACGGGUAGCCGGCCUGAGAGGGUGGACGGCCACAUUGGGACUGAGAUACGGCCCAGACUCCGACGGGAGGCAGCAGUGGGGAAUAUUGCACAAUGGGCGCAAGCCUGAUGCAGCGACGCCGCGUGGGGGAUGACGGCCUUCGGGUUGUAAACUCCUUUCGCUAGGGACGAAGCUUUUUGUGACGGUACCUAGAUAAGAAGCACCGGCUAACUACGUG